Molecule: ribosomal RNA, 853 nt
Filed under: Elsinoe krugii
Lineage: Eukaryota; Fungi; Ascomycota; Dothideomycetes; Myriangiales; Elsinoaceae
Also listed under: 1 other name
Description: LSU rRNA
Rfam family: Eukaryotic large subunit ribosomal RNA
Source: RNAcentral
AACCAACAGGGAUUGCCUCAGUAACGGCGAGUGAAGCGGCAACAGCUCAAAUUUGAAAUCUGGCGCCUUCGGCGUCCGAGUUGUAAUUUGUAGAGGAUGCUAUUGGGUUGCCACCGGUCUAAGUUCCUUGGAACAGGACGUCACAGAGGGUGAGAAUCCCGUAUGUGACCGGCCAGGCGCCUUCUGUAUAGCUCCUUCGACGAGUCGGGUUGUUUGGGAAUGCAGCCCUAAAUGGGAGGUAAAUUUCUUCUAAAGCUAAAUACCGGCCAGAGACCGAUAGCGCACAAGUAGAGUGAUCGAAAGAUGAAAAGCACUUUGGAAAGAGAGUUAAAAAGCACGUGAAAUUGUUGAAAGGGAAGCGCUUGCAAUCAGUCUCGACGGCGGCUGUUCGGCCUCUCUUCUGAGUGGUUUAUUCAGUCGCCGCCGGGCCAGCAUCAGUUUUGGCGGUCGGAUAAAGGCGUGGGGAAUGUAGCUCCUCCGGGAGUGUUAUAGCCCCGCGUGCAAUACGGCCCGCCGGGACUGAGGUCCGCGCUUCGGCUAGGAUGCUGGCGAAAUGGUUGUAAGCGGCCCGUCUUGAAACACGGACCAAGGAGUCUAACAUCUACGCGAGUGUUUGGGUGUCAAACCCGUGCGCGCAAUGAAAGUGAACGGAGGUGGGAACCGCAAGGUGCACCAUCGACCGAUCCUGAUGUCUUCGGAUGGAUUUGAGUAAGAGCGUAGCUGUUGGGACCCGAAAGAUGGUGAACUAUGCCUGAAUAGGGUGAAGCCAGAGGAAACUCUGGUGGAGGCUCGCAGCGGUUCUGACGUGCAAAUCGAUCGUCAAAUUUGGGUAUAGGGGCGAAAGACUAAUCGA